RNAcentral lists this ribosomal RNA (475 nucleotides) under uncultured bacterium. Its description in RNAcentral is "bacterial SSU rRNA". It matches the Rfam family "Bacterial small subunit ribosomal RNA", at positions 23 to 490 of the family's 1533-position model. The record is from RNAcentral.
CUCAGAUUGAACGCUGGCGGCAGGCUUAACACAUGCAAGUCGAGCGGAAACGAGAAUAGCUUGCUAUUCGGCGUCGAGCGGCGGACGGGUGAGUAAUGCUUGGGAAUAUGCCUUAUGGUGGGGGACAACAGUUGGAAACGACUGCUAAUACCGCAUAACGUCUACGGACCAAAGGGGGGAUCUUCGGACCUCUCGCCAUUUGAUUAGCCCAAGUGAGAUUAGCUAGUUGGUAAGGUAAUGGCUUACCAAGGCGACGAUCUCUAGCUGGUUUGAGAGGAUGAUCAGCCACACUGGGACUGAGACACGGCCCAGACUCCUACGGGAGGCAGCAGUGGGGAAUAUUGCACAAUGGGCGAAAGCCUGAUGCAGCCAUGCCGCGUGUGUGAAGAAGGCCUUCGGGUUGUAAAGCACUUUCAGCGAGGAGGAAAGGUUAGUAGUUAAUAACUGCUAGCUGUGACGUUACUCGCAGAAGAAG